GAUGAAGAACGUAGCGAAAUGCGAAAAGUAAUGUGAAUUGCAGAAUUCAGUGAACCAUCGAAUCUUUGAACGCACAUUGCGCCCGCUGGAACUCCGGCGGGCACGCCUGUCCGAGCGUCAUUUCAACCCUCAGGCCCCCCUUCGCGGGCGGGCCUGGUGUUGGGGCCCGGCCGCUACCCUGCGGCCGUCCCCUAAAUCUAGUGGCGGACCCGUCGUGGCCUCCCCUGCGAAGUAGUGAUAUUCCGCAUAGGAGAGCGACGAGCCCCUGCCGUUAAACCCCCAACUUUCUAAGGUUGACCUCAGAUCAGGUAGGAAUACCCGCUGAACUUAAGCAUAUCAAUAAGCGGAGGA
This 351-nucleotide unclassified non-coding RNA is filed under the name soil metagenome. Its description in RNAcentral is "partial contains 5.8S ribosomal RNA, internal transcribed spacer 2, and large subunit ribosomal RNA". The stretch from base 1 to 120 matches the Rfam family "5.8S ribosomal RNA", at positions 35 to 154 of the family's 154-position model. The record is from RNAcentral.